GACCGCGUAGCUCAGUUGGUAGAGCAUUGGGCUAGUAUUCCAAAGGUCGUAGGUUCGAAUCCCACCGUGAUCA
Molecule: transfer RNA, 73 nt
Filed under: Paramuricea clavata
Lineage: Eukaryota; Metazoa; Cnidaria; Anthozoa; Malacalcyonacea; Plexauridae
Rfam family: tRNA
About the family: Transfer RNA (tRNA) molecules are approximately 80 nucleotides in length. Their secondary structure includes four short double-helical elements and three loops (D, anti-codon, and T loops).
Source: Rfam by way of RNAcentral